Molecule: ribosomal RNA, 734 nt
Filed under: Chlamydiales bacterium
Lineage: Bacteria; Pseudomonadati; Chlamydiota; Chlamydiia; Chlamydiales
Description: bacterial SSU rRNA
Rfam family: Bacterial small subunit ribosomal RNA
Source: RNAcentral
GGCGUGGAUGAGGCAUGCAAGUCGAACGGAAUAAAACUUCGGUUUUAUUUAGUGGCGGAAGGGUUAGUAAUACAUAAAUAAUCUGCCUUUAACUUGGGAAUAACGGUUGGAAACGAUCGCUAAUACCGAAUGUGGUGUGUUUAGGCAUCUAAACAACAUUAAAGAAGGGGACCUUCGGGCCUUUCGGUUAAAGAAGAGUUUAUGCGAUAUCAGCUUGUUGGUGAGGUAAAAGCUCACCAAGGCUAUGACGUCUAGGCGAAUUGAGAGAUUGAUCGCCAACACUGGGACUGAGACACUGCCCAGACUCCUACGGGAGGCUGCAGUCGAGAAUCUUUCGCAAUGGGCGAAAGCCUGACGAAGCGACGCCGCGUGUGCGAUGAAGGCUCUAGGGUUGUAAAGCACUUUCGCUUGGGAACAAGAAAGAAUAGCUAAUAUCUAUUCAAUUUGAGCGUACCAGGUAAAGAAGCACCGGCUAACUCCGUGCCAGCAGCUGCGGUAAUACGGAGGGUGCUAGCGUUAAUCGGAUUUAUUGGGCGUAAAGGGCGUGUAGGCGGGAAGGUAAGUUAGUUGUUAAAUCUCGAGGCUCAACCUCGAACAAGCAGCUAAUACUAUCUACCUAGAGGAUAGAAGGAGAAAAGGGAAUUCCACGUGUAGCGGUGAAAUGCGUAGAUAUGUGGAAGAACACCGGUGGCGAAGGCGCUUUUCUAUUUUAUUCCUGACGCUGAGGCGCGAAA